Molecule: non-coding RNA, 27 nt
Filed under: Rattus norvegicus (Norway rat)
Lineage: Eukaryota; Metazoa; Chordata; Mammalia; Rodentia; Muridae
Source: RNAcentral
UGAUGGAUGCAGUAUGACUUUAUGAAC